GAUGAACGCUGGCGGCGUGCUUAAUACAUGCAAGUCGAGCGAACGGACGAGAAGCUUGCUUUUUUGAUGUUAGCGGCGGACGGGUGAGUAACACGUGGAUAACCUACUUAUAAGACUGGGAUAACUUCGGGAAACCGGAGCUAAUACCGGAUAAUAUUUUGAACCGCAUGGUUCAAAAGUGAAAGACGGUCUUGCUGUCACUUAUAGAUGGAUCUGCGCUGCAUUAGCUAGUUGGUAAGGUAACGGCUUACCAAGGCAACGAUGCAUAGCCGACCUGAGGGGGUGAUCGGCCACCCUAGAACUGAGACACGGUCCAGACUCCUGAGGGAGGCAGCAGUAGGGAAUCUUCCGCAAUGGGCGAAAGCCUGACGGAGCAACGCCGCGUGAGUGAUGAAGGUCUUCGGAUCGUAAAACUCUGUUAUUAGGGAAGAACAUAUGUGUAAGUAACUGUGCACAUCUUGACGGUACCUAGUCAGAAAGCCACGGCUAACUACGUG
This 497-nucleotide ribosomal RNA is filed under the name uncultured bacterium. Its description in RNAcentral is "partial 16S ribosomal RNA". It matches the Rfam family "Bacterial small subunit ribosomal RNA", at positions 28 to 507 of the family's 1533-position model. The record is from RNAcentral.